This 459-nucleotide ribosomal RNA is filed under the name uncultured bacterium. RNAcentral describes it as "partial 16S ribosomal RNA". It matches the Rfam family "Bacterial small subunit ribosomal RNA", at positions 338 to 795 of the family's 1533-position model. The record is from RNAcentral.
CCUACGGGGGGCAGCAGUGAGGAAUAUUGGUCAAUGGGAGAGAUCCUGAACCAGCCAAGCCGCGUGAGGGAAGACGGCCCUAUGGGUUGUAAACCUCUUUUGUCGGAGAACAAAACCUGGCACGUGUCCCGUACUGCGUGUAUCCGAAGAAAAAGCAUCGGCUAACUCCGUGCCAGCAGCCGCGGUAAUACGGGGGAUGCGGGCGUUACCCGGAUUUAUUGGGUUAAAGGGGUGCGUAGGCGGGCCGUUAAGUAAGCGGUAAAAUUGCGGGGCUCAACCCCGUCUAGCUGUUGAAACUGGCAGACUUGAGUUGGCGAGAAGUACGCGGAAUGCGCGGUGUAGCGGUGAAAUGCAUAGAUAUCGCGCAGAACUCCGAUUGCGAAGGCAGCGUACCGGCGCCAGACUGACGCUGAGGCACGAAAGCGUGGGGAUCGAACAGGAUUAGAUACCCCGGUAGUC